GGACGAACGCUGGCGGCGUGCUUAACACAUGCAAGUCGAGCGGUAAGGCCCUUUCGGGGGUACACGAGCGGCGAACGGGUGAGUAACACGUGGGUGACCUGCCCUCAGCUCUGGGAUAAGCCCGGGAAACUGGGUCUAAUACCGGAUAUGACUCCAUGACGCAUGUUGUGGGGUGGAAAGCCUUGUGCGGCUGAGGAUGGGCCCGCGGCCUAUCAGCUUGUUGGUGGGGUGAUGGCCUACCAAGCGACGACGGGUAGCCGGCCUGAGAGGGCGACCGGCCACACUGGGACUGAGAUACGGCCCAGACUCCUACGGGAGGCAGCAGUGGGGAAUCUUGCGCAAAUGGGCGAAAGCCUGACGCAGCGACGCCGCGUGA
This 376-nucleotide ribosomal RNA is filed under the name uncultured bacterium. Its description in RNAcentral is "bacterial SSU rRNA". It matches the Rfam family "Bacterial small subunit ribosomal RNA", at positions 27 to 404 of the family's 1533-position model. The record is from RNAcentral.